GGAGUAAAUGAUAGUGAUGGUGAAAAUGCAAUAGUGUUAAUAAAUCUUAGUUCUCAUUGCUCCUCAUAUUGCUAUCUCUCCUCCUCUUCGAUCUUUGCUUUGGGAGAACAUGGGCUAUCUCUUUUUUUUUCAGGUGGGUAAUAGAUACCCCUAAUUCUACUGUCGGACACUUGUCCAUUUUUUUUCCGCUCAAGUGGGCAUCUUUGUACCCCUAAUUCUACUUCGGACACUUGUCUAUUUUUACCUCUCGUCUCACUCUUUUUCUUUCUUUUCCGAGGUUCCGGGCACUUGCCCCUUUUUAUUUCCUCGUAUGUUUUUGCAUAACCCAUGCCUCUUCUACAUUGAAUCUUUUUAGAGAGAGAAUAACAAUACUUGGGACAGUGAGUGAUAAUAUAUUUUUUUAGCAAUUUUAAUGAUUAAUGCUGUGGUACAUGCGUGCAAGUGAAUAUCUUAAUUUAACCACAUGAAAAGCUCCUAAGGGUCU
This 484-nucleotide long non-coding RNA is filed under the name Sorghum bicolor (sorghum). RNAcentral's name for it is "long non-coding RNA (SBIC_LNC012259)". Lineage: Eukaryota; Viridiplantae; Streptophyta; Magnoliopsida; Poales; Poaceae. The record is from RNAcentral.